Long non-coding RNA from Galeopterus variegatus (Sunda flying lemur), 2926 nucleotides. RefSeq lists it as uncharacterized. The record is from RefSeq and is a predicted model, not a curated record. NCBI's taxonomy places the organism in Eukaryota, Metazoa, Chordata, Mammalia, Dermoptera, Cynocephalidae. The transcript is spliced from 2 exons.
UACUUCACACUUGAACUUGUGAUUAUUCACUGUGACCUAAACCUGGUCUACUGUAUUUGUCUGUCCCAGCACAAGUGCCCCUUGUGAAAGAAGUUUACUCAUCAGUCUAAGCACUUAACUUGGAAGUCCUACUACCCUAGCACAAAAUGAAGCAAAAAUUAAAAGUGGCCUUUAAAACUUGGUAGGGUACUUAAUUUUUACAAAAAUAUCCCACUUAAUGCCAAAUCUUUUAGUCCUCAAAGGCAUUUAAGUCUAAUAGUCAUACCUUAAACAUGACUUAAAAUUAUGCCACCAAAGUGCUCCACUUUACAGCUUCACCAGACUGCAGCAUCAUAAAGUUAAUUUACAGUUUUUACAAUAUUGCUUGUACUGUCUUACUGGUUUACAUUAAAAUCCUUUAAGCCAAAAGGAAGCUUGCUGUAUGGAUUUAAAUGCAAACUUCAUUUACCGGUGCAGGAAGUCUCAUAAAACUCAGACGUACUCCCACAAAAAUUUUAUUGGCCUUUUUGUAAGAGAUGAAAAAAAGUUGACACAGUUCUCUUUAAACAAGGGAAAUUUUCUUUUUAUUAUUUUUAUCUCCAACAGCCAGUGUUGCCCUUUGCCACGGUCUCUAUAUUUUUCUUUCAGUUGGCUUUGAGAGGGGAUAUUAAGUCCAAUCACUAAACAGGGUUCUCUUUGGAUUAAAAGUUCUGGGUUUAUUGCAACUAUUUUUCUUGACAAAAAUUGUCAACAUCAGAAUUGGCAAGCAAAGGUGGAAUACUAAAAUGGUAUAAUUGGUCUUACUUAGUUUCUCCAUUUGCCAAACUUAUGGGAAAUUUACCUGUGAAUUUCAAAAUGUUACGAAAAUCUUUUGACAUGAUUUUGUUCUUUCUUUUAGUCAUUUUCUCUUCCAUUCCUAGUCCCUCUGCCCUCUGCAAAUGUGUUGAAUGGCACAGCUGUCAGAUGUGCUGAAGGUGAAGUUCUCUCACAGGUCUCUGUUCCAGCUCCGUAAAGGUCAUGUAGAGGUCACAGGAUCCACGAAGGAGCUGAGAAACAUGCCCUUCUGGCCCACCGUGUGGCGCAUUUUCAUUCAGUUUCCUCAUGAAACAUUGCAAGACUUUCGAAAGCUGCAGUUACAAAGCUGUUUGGCCGUAUUGACAGCAUGUGGUGUUUUUGCAAAAGCAAUUCUAGGAGAGCCAGUGUCUCCCAUGGACUCCUCACAUCCCCACUCCAGGGUCAUCAACAAAAUCAAAGUGAUAAUCUGGAUGCUGUAAUUUUUCAAAAGAUAAAAGGGGAUGGAAAUCAGACCUGGCCAUUAGUCACUAGUGUGUAGUACUGUGAUCUGAAGUAGGAAGUUUAACUCACAUAGAAUAAUUGUGGUUUUUGAAGCAGCUACUCAUUGCUUUUUCCUUUUGCUAUAAAGAUCAUGGAUUUGGAAUAUCCUCAUGAGGUGGCCCUAAGACAGUAGCAUUUAAACUUCAUGUCUUAGAAUCUACCCUCCACCUGAACCCAAAGAUCAAAAGGCAGUAAGCUUCAUCAUUAGGCUUAAGCUUAAAAAUUUCCUUCCCCGUCCCGAAUACUGAGUUCAGCAGGGGGUAUAUCUUUCUUUCCAAAAUGUUAUAUCUUCGAAUUAUAGACUACAUCACUAAGUUUGGUAAUGUAUUCUUUGCAUGAAUGGAAAUACGUGUCAAAAGACUCCUACAAAAGGCAUGAUUUCAGUGAAAAUGCCCUUUUGCCCCCAAAUUUGCCGACCCUCGAAUAGUGUUCAACUGUUUUCAAGCCUUAUUUGCACACAAAUUCCAAAAUGGGGCAAGUUGUACCAUUCCCUUAAAAUUUAAUAGCUGUGGUAGGUAGAGAUUUAACUGUGGUUCUAGUGAAUCAUAAAAAGAGAUAAUAUUUGAGAAGAGUUUGUAAGCCAAAUAUCAUGCCUUCUGACCCCAUUUCUGAGACACAGAUAUUACAAUCAGAAAUAGAUCUAAUAAAUCUAGUAUCCCUCCAUGAGCAAGCUCUGAUUAUGCCAAUAGGGAGAUCACCUUGUACCAGGAGGCAGCAACCUAAGCCUCAUCAGAGGGUAACUGAAAACUUCCCAUCAGAAGCACCCUCCAAGGCUUAGCCUAAAUUGUGUAAGCUGCUCCCAUUCAAAGCUUCUCUAUGAGAAGGUGGGAAAACACCAGACUGUGGGAAUUUUAUGUUCAGGAAGACAAUUUUCUCCUUUUCCAAAUCAGAAUGAAGACUUAGAAUUUCCCAUUCUUUAUAGGUUUAUCUGAUUGCUAAAUGCACUGCAGUAAGCCUCGACCUAGAAAUAUCGCAAACACAAGCAUUCAGAGGAACACUGGCUUAUUCUCCUGAACCAAACUCAAAAAACAUGAGUCGUUGUUUACCUCCACUUCUGUAUGAGAACUGAAAAACAUUUCAUUUUGUUCUGUUUAUUUUGGGAAGGUGUGUGGGGGGCGUUCUUUCAAGUGAUUCAUAUCUCAAAUCCAUACCACUCUCAACUUUUAUUUGAUGUGUUCAAAGCCAAAAAAAAAAAAAAAAAAAAAGCAGGGCUGAACACUUAAUUUGACAUGAAGCUGAAGGAAUCCGCAAGGCAGAAGAGAGCUUUUGAAGAAAGCAUGGCCUUGGCUUCAUACCACACUUUUUGUGCCUUGUAUUAUCAGUGUAAAUUCUGAAUGUUGUACAGUAAAUACUUGGAUGGACUUCUUAGAAAAGGCUGCACUGGCUUCUUUUUCAGCACAUGUACAUAUCUAUAAAUAUAUAUACAUAUAUAUUUGGUAAUGCCAAACAGCUGUGUUAUAUUGUAUUGAACAAAAUGGACGGUUUGGAUGUUUUAUGUAGAGUUUGCAUAAAAACUGGAUGGUUACAGACUUUUCAAGAUAAAUGUACAGACGUAAAUUACUGCUUAUCAGUUAUUUAUGAAUAAAGAGUCUUUUAUUGACAUUUUAGGAUA